RNAcentral lists this long non-coding RNA (950 nucleotides) under Salmo salar (Atlantic salmon). RNAcentral's name for it is "lncRNA (ENSSSAG00000107790.1)". Lineage: Eukaryota; Metazoa; Chordata; Actinopteri; Salmoniformes; Salmonidae. The record is from RNAcentral.
GGAUCUUAGCUGUCCCGUGACACUUCCUACGGCUGCCAUAGGGUCUCAGAAGGCGGUAAAAAGCUGAAUCGUGGCUUUGCAGGCUCUGGCUGAAAAAAAGUAGCGCGUUUGGGUAGUGGCUGGUUACAGUACUGUGAGACUCAGGCUCGUGCCCGCGUCGACCGAAAGCUUUGUUUACUUUCCUCUGUUUAGCUAAAUGGACAUUCCCGGUCGGAAUAUUAUCGCUUUUUUACGAGAAAAAUGGCAUAAAAAUGGAUUUUAAACAGCGGUUGACAUGCUUCGAAGUACAGUAAUGGAAUAUUUAGAUUUUUUUUGUCACGAAUUGCGCCAUGCGCAAGACCCUGAUUUACCAUUUCAGAUAGUGUCUGGGACGCACGAACAAAACGCCGCUAUUCGGAUAUAACGAUGGAUUAUUUUGGACCAAACCAACAUUUGUUAUUGAAGUAGCAGUCCUGGGAGUGCAUUCUGACGAAGACAACAAAAGACCAUACAAACAUGCCGACAACCAUCCGUGGAGAUCAGUCGACAGAGGGCCGGACAACGGGCCGCACCAAAAAAACGCAUGGUUGCCAAGAAAGCGGCCACUGGAUUGAAUGGGGGCUCAGGGCAGUACCAUUCUGCUCAUCUGAUGAAGGUGCACAUGGAUCACAUUCAAACUGACAGAGAUCGAGUUAGAGGCAGACCAGCAGAAAGAGAAACAUUAUCGGAGGGCAGAGAUACGGGCGACAGCUGAUGCAUUGGUCCAGAACCAGGCAGCAUUGGCGGAGAGACAGGCGGAGAAUGGCGCUUUGAAGAGGGCGAGGAACAAGAUGGAGUUACAAUCCAUGCCAGGCACACCUGUGAGCUCUGGAACUCCACCUCCGACAGGCAGAGUCAACAUACCUGGCGUGUUCAUCAGGUUAUCGGUUCACCCUGACAUUUCCAUUCCUCUUCUGACAACAGAACUUGGC